GGGCGCGUAGCUCAGCGGAAGAGCAUUCCCUUCACACGGGAGGGGUCACAGGUUCGAUCCCUGUCGCGCCCACCA
RNAcentral lists this transfer RNA (75 nucleotides) under Hyphomicrobiales bacterium. RNAcentral's name for it is "Rhizobiales bacterium tRNA-Val". It matches the Rfam family "tRNA". From Rfam's summary of the family: Transfer RNA (tRNA) molecules are approximately 80 nucleotides in length. Lineage: Bacteria; Pseudomonadati; Pseudomonadota; Alphaproteobacteria; Hyphomicrobiales. The record is from RNAcentral. RNAcentral also lists the same sequence under 1 other name.